GAAACGGAUGCUAAUACCCCAUAGGUGGAUUGGUCGCAUGACGAAUUCAUUAAAGGUGGCUUUGCUACCACUCAUGGAUAGCCUCGCGGCGUAUUAGCUAGUUGGUAAGGUAAUGGCUUACCAAGGCAGUGAUACGUAGCCGACUUGAGAGGGUGAUCGGCCACACUGGGACUGAGACACGGCCCAG
Molecule: ribosomal RNA, 187 nt
Filed under: uncultured Carnobacteriaceae bacterium
Lineage: Bacteria; Bacillati; Bacillota; Bacilli; Lactobacillales; Carnobacteriaceae
Description: partial 16S ribosomal RNA
Rfam family: Bacterial small subunit ribosomal RNA
Source: RNAcentral